Molecule: ribosomal RNA, 467 nt
Filed under: uncultured bacterium
Lineage: Bacteria
Description: partial 16S ribosomal RNA
Rfam family: Bacterial small subunit ribosomal RNA
Source: RNAcentral
GACGAACGCUGGCGCGUGCUUAACACAUGCAGGUCGAACGGAAAGGCCCUGCUUUUGUGGGGUGCUCGAGUGGCGAACGGGUGAGUAACACGUGAGUAACCUGCCCUUGACUUUGGGAUAACUUUAGGAAACUGGGGCUAAUACCGGAUAGGAGCUCCUGCUGCAUGGUGGGGGUUGGAAAGUUUCGGCGGUUGGGGAUGGACUCGCGGCUUAUCAGCUUGUUGGUGGGGUAGUGGCUUACCAAGGCUUUGACGGGUAGCCGGCCUGAGAGGGUGACCGGCCACAUUGGGACUGAGAUACGGCCCAGACUCCUACGGGAGGCAGCAGUGGGGAAUAUUGCACAAUGGGCGGAAGCCUGAUGCAGCAACGCCGCGUGCGGGAUGACGGCCUUCGGGUUGUAAACCGCUUUCGCCUGUGACGAAGCGUGAGUGACGGUAAUGGGUAAAGAAGCACCGGCUAACUACGUG